RNAcentral lists this ribosomal RNA (275 nucleotides) under uncultured prokaryote. RNAcentral's name for it is "partial 16S ribosomal RNA". It matches the Rfam family "Bacterial small subunit ribosomal RNA", at positions 524 to 798 of the family's 1533-position model. The record is from RNAcentral.
UACGUAGGUGGCAAGCGUUGUCCGGAUUUAUUGGGCGUAAAGGGAGCGCAGGUGGUUUCUUAAGUCUGAUGUGAAAGCCCACGGCUUAACCGUGGAGGGUCAUUGGAAACUGGGGAACUUGAGUGCAGAAGAGGAAAGUGGAAUUCCAAGUGUAGCGGUGGAAUGCGUAGAUAUUUGGAGGAACACCAGUGGCGAAGGCGAUUCUCUGGACUGUAACUGACGCUGAGGCUCGAAAGCGUGGGGAGCAAACAGGAUUAGAUACCCUGGUAGUCCCU